UAAUACGGAGGGUGCAAGCGUUAUUCGGAUUUAUUGGGCGUAAAGAGAGCGUAGGCGGUCUGUUAAGUCAGAGGUGAAAGCCCCAGGCUCAACCUGGGAAGUGCCUUUGAAACUGGCAGACUUGAGUACGAGAGAGGGUAGCGGAAUUCCAAGUGUAGAGGUGAAAUUCGUAGAUAUUUGGAGGAACACCGGUGGCGAAGGCGGCUACCUGGACCGAUACUGACGCUGAGGCUCGAAAGCGUGGGGAGCAAACAGGAUUAGAUACCCUGGUAGUCCACGCCCUAAACGAUGCGUACUAGGUGUGGGUGGCGAUAGUCAUCCGUGUCGAAGGGAAACCAUUAAGUACGCCGCCUGGGGAGUACGGCCGCAAGGUUG
Molecule: ribosomal RNA, 375 nt
Filed under: uncultured delta proteobacterium
Lineage: Bacteria; Deltaproteobacteria
Description: bacterial SSU rRNA
Rfam family: Bacterial small subunit ribosomal RNA
Source: RNAcentral